GCCCCCAUCGUCUAGAGGCCUAGGACGUCGCCCUUUCACGGCGGUAACACGGGUUCGAAUCCCGUUGGGGGUG
This 73-nucleotide transfer RNA is filed under the name Acidithrix sp. RNAcentral describes it as "tRNA-Glu". It matches the Rfam family "tRNA". From Rfam's summary of the family: Transfer RNA (tRNA) molecules are approximately 80 nucleotides in length. Lineage: Bacteria; Bacillati; Actinomycetota; Acidimicrobiia; Acidimicrobiales; Acidimicrobiaceae. The record is from RNAcentral. RNAcentral also lists the same sequence under 1 other name.